CUGAGUUGAAACCGGCGUAAGCCAGGUUGGUUUCUAUCUUUAAUAAAUUAUAAUAUUUUAGUACGAAAGGACCAAAUAUUAAAUAUAUUUAUAUUUAAUUUUUUGAAUAUU
This 111-nucleotide ribosomal RNA is filed under the name Pogonus meridionalis. Its description in RNAcentral is "partial 16S ribosomal RNA". The record is from RNAcentral. Lineage: Eukaryota; Metazoa; Arthropoda; Insecta; Coleoptera; Carabidae.